AUUGAACGCUGGCGGCAGGCCUAACACAUGCAAGUCGAGCGGUAGAGAGGUGCUUGCAUCUCUUGAGAGCGGCGGACGGGUGAGUAAUGCCUAGGAAUCUGCCUAGUGGUGGGGGAUAACGUUCGGAAACGGACGCUAAUACCGCAUACGUCCUACGGGAGAAAGCGGGGGGAUCUUCGGACCUCGCGCCAUUAGAUGAGCCUAGGUCGGAUUAGCUAGUUGGUGAGGUAAUGGCUCACCAAGGCGACGAUCCGUAACUGGUCUGAGAGGAUGAUCAGUCACACUGGAACUGAGACACGGUCCAGACUCCUACGGGAGGCAGCAGUGGGAAUAUUGGACAAUGGGCGAAAGCCUGAUCCAGCCAUGCCGCGUGUGUGAAGGAAGGUCUUCGGAUUGUAAAGCACUUUAAGUUGGGUAGGAAGGGUAGUAACCUAAUACGUUGCUACUUUGACGUUACCGACAGAAUAAGCACCGG
RNAcentral lists this ribosomal RNA (475 nucleotides) under uncultured bacterium. RNAcentral describes it as "bacterial SSU rRNA". It matches the Rfam family "Bacterial small subunit ribosomal RNA", at positions 30 to 496 of the family's 1533-position model. The record is from RNAcentral.